RNAcentral lists this ribosomal RNA (267 nucleotides) under uncultured bacterium. RNAcentral's name for it is "partial 16S ribosomal RNA". It matches the Rfam family "Bacterial small subunit ribosomal RNA", at positions 87 to 354 of the family's 1533-position model. The record is from RNAcentral.
CCCGGCGACCGGCGCACGGGUGAGUAACACGUAUGGAACCUGCCCGCAGCAGGGGGAUAAGCGGAAGAAAUUCCGUCUAAUACCGCGUAACACCGCAGAGGGGCAUCCCUCGGCGGUUAAAGAUUCAUCGGCUGCGGAUGGCCAUGCGGCGCAUUAGCUAGUCGGUGGGGUAACGGCCCACCGAGGCGACGAUGCGUAGGGGUUCUGAGAGGAAGGUCCCCCACACUGGUACUGAGACACGGACCAGACUCCUACGGAAGGCAGCAG